GCCCCCGUAGCUCAGGUGGAUAGAGCACUGGCCUCCGGAGCCAGAGGCCCAGGUUCGAGUCCUGGCGGGGGUA
This 73-nucleotide transfer RNA is filed under the name Chloroflexota bacterium. RNAcentral describes it as "Chloroflexi bacterium (hydrothermal vent metagenome) tRNA-Arg". It matches the Rfam family "tRNA". Rfam says of the family: Transfer RNA (tRNA) molecules are approximately 80 nucleotides in length. Lineage: Bacteria; Bacillati; Chloroflexota. The record is from RNAcentral.